Non-coding RNA from Podarcis lilfordi (Lilford's wall lizard), 115 nucleotides. Lineage: Eukaryota; Metazoa; Chordata; Lepidosauria; Squamata; Lacertidae. The record is from the annotation of a GenBank genome assembly.
ACCUUAGAGACCAACUAAGUUUGUUAUUGGUAUGAGCUUUCGUGUGCAUGAACACUUCUUCAGUGCAUGCACACGAAAGCUCAUACCAAUAACAAUCUUAGUUGGUCUCUAAGGU